RNAcentral lists this ribosomal RNA (301 nucleotides) under uncultured bacterium. Its description in RNAcentral is "partial 16S ribosomal RNA". It matches the Rfam family "Bacterial small subunit ribosomal RNA", at positions 509 to 807 of the family's 1533-position model. The record is from RNAcentral.
CAGUCGCCACGGUAAUACGAGGGGGGCAAGCGUUGUUCGGAAUUAUUGGGCGUAAAGGGUGCGUAGGCGGUUCAGCAAGUCUCGUGUGAAAUCUUCGGGCUCAACCCGAAGUCUGCACGGGAAACUACUGGGCUUGAGUAAUGGAGAGGUGAGUGGAAUUUCCGGUGUAGCGGUGAAAUGCGUGGAUAUCGGAAGGAACACCUGUGGCGAAAGCGGCUCACUGGACAUUUACUGACGCUGAUGCACGAGAGCUAGGGGAGCAAACAGGAUUAGAUACCCGGGUAGUCCCUGUCUCUUAUAC